Molecule: long non-coding RNA, 240 nt
Organism: Podarcis raffonei (Aeolian wall lizard)
Lineage: Eukaryota; Metazoa; Chordata; Lepidosauria; Squamata; Lacertidae
Exons: 3
Source: RefSeq, a predicted model, not a curated record
UUUGAGGGCUGGCGGCUUGUUCGAUUGCGGAGGGGUUUGCUGCGCUGAAAGGCGAUAGGAGCAAAAGCUACCGGUAUGUCGGCACCUCAAUGCUAGGCCCAAUCAUGGAGACAAGUGAAAGAGAGCUGCUGAAAUCCACAGCCCAAGGAGGAAGGCAGUGUCUGUCACAUCCCUUUGUUGCAGCAGGAAUUACGGAGCAAAACUUGCAAAAUAUAUAACUCGCUACAGUGGAGAAGGGGA